RNAcentral lists this ribosomal RNA (466 nucleotides) under uncultured prokaryote. RNAcentral describes it as "partial 16S ribosomal RNA". The record is from RNAcentral.
CCCUAUGGGGUGCAGCAGGCCCGUACUGCUAACCGAGAGGCAGGGCAUUCCGGCCACAUGCCCAUCGGCCUUGCACUGGAAUUUCUCCGUUGUGUUAUGUCCAGCCCUGCCGCAGCACGAGCUGCUCUACAAGGGCGACUUGAGGGCCACGACCGGGAAAGCGACAGAGAUUACACGGAGCCCUUUGAGGCUGAUGGCGACGAUGAAGAAUUAAAGGAAAUGCGAGAGGAGGUUCCGCCUCGUUUGAUUGAGAACACCUCGUCCUGGGCAAAGGUAAUCGGCAGUCUUCAGGCCCUCGCCAUAGCGGCUCAGCGCCUUGAUGAAGCGCAGGACACUAAAAUCAGGUCGGCAGUCCAAGCUGUAUCAUGUCUCUUGUCCGAAGGAUUCGCUCCUGUCGUAUUCUGCCACUACGUUGAGACAGCCCAUUAUGUGGCCCGAAGACUGAAGGAGGAAUUGGCGGGGGGGC